AGGGAGUGGUUCUCAUAGGGGCAGCGAGUCUCAAAACGGGGAGCUCACUGCUGUGCUCUCUUCAUCUCCCCACAACCCACCUCAGUUUUUUCUUCUUUUUUUUUUUUAAAGCCUGAUGGAGGCCUUUUCCUGUAGAUCAGCUUCCCAAAAGCAGUCAGAAUGAGUGACAUCAUGAGAAAAUUAUGUGGAGCAGAUCUCAACCAGAAGUUGAGGAAUCCCAGAGGAAGAAUGCAGUGGUAACUCCUGAGCCCAGGGAGUUGGCAAGAGUGUGGGCUUCCAAGGAGCCAGAACCUCCGAACCGGGCCUUCUUGAAGCAAGGCUAUACCGUCCUACUGUUCCUCUGGCUGAAAGAUCUGAGUGCCGUGUGACAAAUACUUUGGUGAGUGCCAUUUGUCCCUGUUGAACCAAGACUCUGAGGCUGAUAUGCAAUGUCACUUACAACAUUAAUCAUGCAAGACCCGAUGGAUGAACUGCAGUUGUUCUAGCAUGAAUGGAUGCCUGAUAGAUCUCAUGCUCGUAUCGUAGACUCUCCAUCCUUUUGUUUUCAACCUAAGCAUGGCUACCGUCAUCUUGUAGCUUUUCAUAGCUAAUGGUUUUUUUUUUAAUGACAUUAUUCAUUUGUGUUGCUCUUAGUCAUGCCUAACAGAAUUUCAAAUAUAAUCCACAGAGCCAGAAAACCAAACAAAACUAUUGGGAAAUACACAGAACCAUUAUCACCCUAAUAAACAGGCGACUGAAUGGG
RNAcentral lists this long non-coding RNA (742 nucleotides) under Rattus norvegicus (Norway rat). Its description in RNAcentral is "long non-coding RNA NONRATT028892". The record is from RNAcentral. Lineage: Eukaryota; Metazoa; Chordata; Mammalia; Rodentia; Muridae.